ACUGGCCUCGAUUAGCCAUGCACGUCUUAGUACAAACUAAAUAGAUGGUGAAACUUGCAAAUGGGCUCAUUACAACGGUUAUGAUGUACCCGGGAGUUCCGAUGGAUAUUUCCAGUAACACUAGAACUAAUACAUGUCCCUGCGUUUAUUAGUUUCGCACAGUCCGUCGCUGAGUCAUGGUAAACAGUUGAUCGACUCGACGUCCCGGAACAGUUUCCGCCCCAUCAGCUUCGAUGGUUGGGUAUUGGCCUACCAUUGCAACAACGGGUAACAAGGAAUUAGGGUUUGAUUUCGGAGAGGGAGCCUGAGAAACGGCUACCACAUCUACGGAUGGCAGCAGGCGCGCAAAUUACCCAAUGCAGACACUGUGAGGUAGUGACGAGAAAUAAUAAAGCGGGACUUCUGUUUCGCUAUUAUAAUGAGGAAUAACCAAAGGUCAUUCCGAUUAGCAACUGAUGGGAAAGUCUGGUGCCAGCAGCCGCGGUAAUACCAGCGUCAGU
Molecule: ribosomal RNA, 500 nt
Filed under: uncultured Myrionecta
Lineage: Eukaryota; Ciliophora; Litostomatea; Cyclotrichida; Mesodiniidae
Description: SSU rRNA
Rfam family: Eukaryotic small subunit ribosomal RNA
Source: RNAcentral